Non-coding RNA from Onychostoma macrolepis, 631 nucleotides. The record is from the annotation of a RefSeq genome assembly. NCBI's taxonomy places the organism in Eukaryota, Metazoa, Chordata, Actinopteri, Cypriniformes, Cyprinidae.
AAACUGAUAAAAGCUGAACUUUCAGUCAGUGCAUGUGUUCAGUGACUAAUACAGCUGCAGUGUACCCUAUAACUGUUUUACUGAGGUGAUGGAGAUGCUGUAUGGACUCCUACUGAUGAUUAUUUCAUCUGUUAGUGGUCAGUCUUUGACCUCCUCAGAUUCUGUGGUGAAAAAGCCUGGAGACUCAGUGACUCUGUCCUGCACUGUGUCUGGAUUCUCAAUGAGCAGCUACUGGAUGCACUGGAUCCGUCAGAAACCAGGGAAAGGACUGGAGUGGAUUGGAUUUAUAGACGGUGGCUCAAGUGCAUAUUAUGCUCAGUCUCUACAGGGCCAGUUCUCCAUCACCAAAGACACCAGCAAAAACAUGCUGUAUUUAGAGGUGAAAAGCCUGAAGACUGAAGACACAGCUGUUUAUUACUGUGCUAGAGACUCACAGUUACACAAAAGACUGCAGGGCUGAGCAAAAACUAUUCAUGCAUCACAUCACAAAAGCAGUUCUACUGCAAACAUCCCCAAAAUAUAAAAUAUUACUUGUUUUUAGAUGUUAUUCAAAACACUUAAGCAGUUCUUUGGUAGCAUUUUAAAAUAAUGGUCCAUCAGGUAACUAUGCAGGAAGAAAUGCAGGACAAAU